This 460-nucleotide ribosomal RNA is filed under the name uncultured bacterium. Its description in RNAcentral is "partial 16S ribosomal RNA". It matches the Rfam family "Bacterial small subunit ribosomal RNA", at positions 338 to 795 of the family's 1533-position model. The record is from RNAcentral.
CCUACGGGAGGCUGCAGUGAGGAAUAUUGGUCAAUGGACGAGAGUCUGAACCAGCCACGUAGCGUGAAGGAUGACUGCCCUAUGGGUUGUAAACUUCUUUUAUAUGGGAAUAAAAUGUUACACGUGUGGGAUUUUGUAUGUACCAUAUGAAUAAGGAACGGCUAACUCAGUGCCAGCAGCCGCGGUAAUACGGAGGAUCCGAGCGUUAUCCGGAGUUAUUGGGUUUAAGGGGAGCGUAGGUGGAUUGUUAAGUCAGUUGUGAAAGUUUGCGGCUCAACCGUAAAAUUGCAGUUGAAACUGGCAGUCUUGAGUACAGUAGAGGUGAGCGGAAUUCGUGGUGUAGCGGUGAAAUGCUUAGAUAUCACGAAGAACUCCGAUUGCGAAGGCAGUUCACUGGACUGCAACUGACACUGAGGCUCGAAAGUGUGGGUAUCAAACAGGAUUAGAUACCCCGGUAGUC